Molecule: transfer RNA, 65 nt
Filed under: Lepidurus arcticus
Lineage: Eukaryota; Metazoa; Arthropoda; Branchiopoda; Notostraca; Triopsidae
Also listed under: 1 other name
Description: tRNA-Ile
Source: RNAcentral
AAUUGAGUGCCUGACUAAAAGGAUUACCUUGAUAGGGUAAAUAAUGUAAUUUAUUACCUCAAUUA